AGCGGGUGAAGCUAGCUUGUGGCAAUUGGCCUUCCCAUGUGGAGAUCAUGUUGGCUGAGGGUCUUGACAAGCAGCCUUUGCAAUAUAUCAUAGCCCAACUGAGACAACAUCAUUUCAAUUGUGUUCGAUUCACUUGGGCAACUCACAUGUUCACACGCUACGCUAACCGUACUGUGAUGGAAUCUCUUGAUUCUUUUAACCUGACAGAUGCUAAAGCAGGAAUAGCCAAGAACAACCCUUUUGUAUUGAAACUGACCCUUGUUCAAGCCUUUGAAGCUGUGAUUGAUCAUUUUGGGGCACAGGGUGUAAUGGUGGUGCUUGAUAACCAGGUCAGUAGACCAACCUGGUGUUGUGGAUAUGACGAUGGUAAUGGUUUCUUCGGUGACGCAGAUUUUGAUGCUGACGAGUGGCUGCAAGGUUUAGCUAUGGUAGCUGGGCGCUUUAAAGGCAAAUCUCAGGUCAUAGGAAUAAGCACUCGGAACGAGUUGCGAGGUCCUCUUGCAAAUGAGGAUGACUGGUACAAAUACAUCUAUCAAGGAGGAGCAACCAUUCACAAGGCAAAUCCUGAUGUUCUAAUAUUUGCUUCAGGGUUGGCUUAUGCUAGUGACCUCACUUUCUUGAAGAAAAAGCAUUUGCAGACUAACUUUGAUAACAAGUUAUUGUAUGAGGCACAUUGGUACGCUUUCAGUUGGGGGGAAGGCAAAGUUUGGGGGAUGGAAUUUGUGAAUAAGGCUUGUCAAAGCAAAACUCAAUACUUUAUUAACCAAACUGGUUUUGUUGUUAAUGGUGACAAUCCAUUUCCUAUGUUUGUGGGUGAAUUUGGUCUAGAUCAAAGAGGUUUGAGCCGUGCUGAUGAACACUUCUAUGCAUGCUUUUUGGCCUAUGCUGCUGAUGAAGACUUGGAUUGGGGUGUCUGGGCAUGGCAAGGAAGCUAUUAUUACCGCGAGAAUAAAACCGGAACAGAGGAGACAUAUGGAGUCAUGGAUUUCAAUUGGAACCGUGUUAGAAAUAAAGAAUUCCAGAAUAGGAUGCAACUUAUUAAGAGCAAGCUUCAAGACCCGAGUUCAAGAAUUUCCACAUCCUUCAUAAUGUUUCAUCCACUAAGUGGCAGCUGCAUCAAUACAGAAGAUAGAAAGGGAAUAUAUGCUACCGGUUGCAAAGCUCCUAGUCAUUGGAUUCAUGAGGGAGAUAGGACUCCGAUCAGGUUGAGAGGCACAAAACUAUGCCUUAAAGCUGUUGGUGAUGGACUUGAACCAAUUCUUUCUGAGGACUGCUCAAGCAAGCAAAGUUCUUGGACAUCUCUAUCAGAGAGUAAGCUUCACUUGGCUGCCAUUGAUGAGAACGGAGAAUAUCUGUGCUUGCAAAAGGAAUCCCGCUACACCACCAGGAUACUAACUAGCAGUUGUGUUUUCAUACAUGAAGAACCAGAGUGCCAGAAGGAUCCUCAGAAAGACCCAGUAACUCAAUGGUUUAAACUCGUCAAGACAAAUGUACUGUAGUUGACAUUAGUAAUUAAUUAAGGUUAAAAAUAAUUUAGUUAGAUAGUUGUUUUGAAUUUCUGUUUCUUUAUUUAGAACUACUUGUCUGAUGGCAUUUCUUUAAACAAG
RNAcentral lists this unclassified non-coding RNA (1607 nucleotides) under Hevea brasiliensis (rubber tree). The record is from RNAcentral. Lineage: Eukaryota; Viridiplantae; Streptophyta; Magnoliopsida; Malpighiales; Euphorbiaceae.